CUGUCUCUUCUGUGGCUGUUGUCAUCUUUCUGUAUUUGAGGUGAAAUUUUGAAACGGAGAAAUAGAUCAGCCUGCAGAAACGCAGAGCCUGGCUCCAUGGCUUUAUAUGACUUUGGACUGUGCAUCUUCAAGGGCUGGCAUAACCAGGCUGGCUCCAGUGGC
Lagopus leucura (white-tailed ptarmigan) is the source of this 162-nucleotide long non-coding RNA. RefSeq lists it as uncharacterized. The transcript is spliced from 3 exons. NCBI's taxonomy places the organism in Eukaryota, Metazoa, Chordata, Aves, Galliformes, Phasianidae. The record is from RefSeq and is a predicted model, not a curated record.